CAAUAGCGUAUAUUUAAGUUGUUGCAGUUAAAAAGCUCGUAGUUGGAUUUCGGUUGAGAACGGCCGGUCCGCCGUUUGGUGUGCACUGGCUGGUUUCAACUUCCUGUAGAGGACGUGCUCUGGCUUCACGGCUGGACGCGGAGUCUACGUGGUUACUUUGAAAAAAUUAGAGUGUUCAAAGCGGGCUUACGCUUGAAUAUUUCAGCAUGGAAUAACACUAUAGGACUCCUGUCCUAUUUCGUUGGUCUCGGGACGGGAGUAAUGAUUAAGAGGAACAGUUGGGGGCAUUCGUAUUUCAUUGUCAGAGGUGAAAUUCUUGGAUUUAUGAAAGACGAACUUCUGCGAUAGCAUUUGCCAAGGAUGUUUUCAUUAA
Molecule: ribosomal RNA, 373 nt
Filed under: uncultured eukaryote
Lineage: Eukaryota
Description: partial 18S ribosomal RNA
Rfam family: Eukaryotic small subunit ribosomal RNA
Source: RNAcentral